AUUGAACGCUGGCGGCAGGCCUAACACAUGCAAGUCGAACGAGUGGCGGACGGGUGAGUAAUGUCUGGGAAACUGCCUGCUGGAGGGGGAUAACUACUAGAAACGGUAGCUAAUACCGCAUACCAUCGGAUGUGCCCAGAGGGGAUUAGCUAGUAGGUGGGGUAAAGGCUCACCUAGGCGACGAUCCCUAUCUGGUCUUAGAGGAUGACCAGCAACAAGGGAACUGAGAAACGGUCCAGACUCCUACGGGAGGCAGCAGUGGGGAAUAUGGCACAAUGGGCGAAAGCCUGAUGCAGACAUGCCUGGUGUAUGAAGAAGGCCUUCGGGUUGUAAAGUACUUUCCGCGGGGAGGCGUUACCCGCAGAAGAAGCACCGGCUAAAUCCGUGCCAGCAGCCGCGGUAAUAC
This 406-nucleotide ribosomal RNA is filed under the name uncultured bacterium. Its description in RNAcentral is "partial 16S ribosomal RNA". It matches the Rfam family "Bacterial small subunit ribosomal RNA", at positions 30 to 526 of the family's 1533-position model. The record is from RNAcentral.